GAUGAACGCUGGCGGCGUGCCUAAUACUUGCAAGUAGGCUCUGAAGCUUGGUGCUUGCAUCGUGCGGAUGGAUUUGCGAACGGGUGAGUAACGCGUAGGUAACCUGCCUCUUAGCGGGGGAUUACUAUUGGAAACGAUUGCUUAUUCCGC
This 150-nucleotide ribosomal RNA is filed under the name uncultured Streptococcus sp. RNAcentral's name for it is "partial 16S ribosomal RNA". It matches the Rfam family "Bacterial small subunit ribosomal RNA", at positions 28 to 172 of the family's 1533-position model. Lineage: Bacteria; Bacillati; Bacillota; Bacilli; Lactobacillales; Streptococcaceae. The record is from RNAcentral.